This 804-nucleotide ribosomal RNA is filed under the name uncultured bacterium. Its description in RNAcentral is "bacterial SSU rRNA". It matches the Rfam family "Bacterial small subunit ribosomal RNA", at positions 8 to 812 of the family's 1533-position model. The record is from RNAcentral.
AGAGUUUGAUCCUGGCUCAGGAUGAACGCUGGCGGCGUGCUUAACACAUGCAAGUCGAACGAAGCACCUUGAUUUGAUUCUUCGGAUGAAGAUCUUGGUGACUGAGUGGCGGACGGGUGAGUAACGCGUGGGUAACCUGCCUCAUACAGGGGGAUAACAGUUAGAAAUGACUGCUAAUACCGCAUAAGACCACAGCACCGCAUGGUGCAGGGGUAAAAACUCCGGUGGUAUGAGAUGGACCCGCGUCUGAUUAGGCAGUUGGUGGGGUAACGGCCUACCAAGCCGACGAUCAGUAGCCGACCUGAGAGGGUGACCGGCCACAUUGGGACUGAGACACGGCCCAAACUCUUACGGGAGGCAGCAGUGGGGAAUAUUGCACAAUGGGGGAAACCCUGAUGCAGCGACGCCGCGUGAGCGAUGAAGUAUUUCGGUAUGUAAAGCUCUAUCAGCAGGGAAGAAAAUGACGGUACCUGACUAAGAAGCACCGGCUAAAUACGUGCCAGCAGCCGCGGUAAUACGUAUGGUGCAAGCGUUAUCCGGAUUUACUGGGUGUAAAGGGAGCGUAGACGGAGUGGCAAGUCUGAUGUGAAAACCCGGGGCUCAACCCCGGGACUGCAUUGGAAACUGUCAAUCUAGAGUACCGGAGAGGUAAGCGGAAUUCCUAGUGUAGCGGUGAAAUGCGUAGAUAUUAGGAGGAAGACCAGUGGCGAAGGCGGCUUACUGGACGGUAACUGACGUUGAGGCUCGAAAGCGUGGGGAGCAAACAGGAUUAGAUACCCUGGUAGUCCACGCCGUAAACGAUGA